RNAcentral lists this long non-coding RNA (2633 nucleotides) under Coffea arabica (coffee). Its description in RNAcentral is "long non-coding RNA (CARA_LNC007524)". Lineage: Eukaryota; Viridiplantae; Streptophyta; Magnoliopsida; Gentianales; Rubiaceae. The record is from RNAcentral.
GGAGUACAAAAGAUCUUCCACUACAAAGAAAAUUCAAGGUCUCUAUCAACUCAUGCACUUUCACACCGACUAUAUAUACAUGCAAAUAGAAAUGUGAUAAGAAAAGCUCUCAAAACAGACUAUUAGUAUCUCCUACUUUAACCGAGAAGAUCUAAAUUUGCCUAGUAUAUCCACAACAAUCUACCAUUACCACGGCUUCACCAUACCAAACAGUUGGAUCUAUCAAAUAUGUUACAAGCGGAAUGUUGAAAUGUUAGUCACCACUUCCCCAGUAUCUGCUAAAGUUUACGUGAUUCAUGCACUAGUGUACAUUUUCUUCCAUAUUCACAAGCUUCCAGCCACUCCUUUCCAGCAUAGAGACGCACAGUUGCACAACUCUGCAUAUGUUAGUUAAAAGUGGAUGUUAAAACAACAGAAACAUUAGGAAGCAAUGAAUAUUUCAAGAAAUUUGACCAAAAAGGGGUAUUGGAAAAGAAUGGUGCAAGUUCUGGGGGUUAAGGAUUAAUACCAGCAAAGCCAAAUUUUACAGGCUUUGACUUCCCAGUUUGGGGUUUGAGAUUGAUAAACAAGCUGAUGCAUUGGUUUGCCAGUGGUCGUCUUAGGGUAUACACUGCAUGAUCCAGAUGAUUAAACAGUGUUCCAAGAGGGUUUUUCAUCAGGUGGUUCCAAGUCAGUUUUAUUUUCAUGAAAGAACAGAAAACUUUUUGACAUUAGAAGAAAAUAAAAUUUGCCACACAGAUAAAAACCAAGAUGACAAAAAUCAGUCAACAGCUUCCUUCCUAACAGUUGAAACCAGCUUAGAUAACAUCCUUUGACAGAUAAACUGAAAGGUAUGUUCCUUCUAAAGUAGAAGAGAAAUGUAGCAAACACUUCUAAAACUCUCUUAGGACAGGACAACGUAAAGAGCUAACUACAGUUAGAGAAGCACAACAGUCCAAGUUCCAUACUAGUUAUAUAACUUGCAUUAAUAAAGUUCCUUGAAUACGCAAUUUUGUUACAGACACCACCCAGCUUUAGAUAUCAAUGGGACUCUAUCCAUUCGCAUAUAUAACUGGAAAAAAGGGUAUCACAAUACAUACCAGUUAUGGUUUCAACUUAGGAUUGAGGUGGAGACUCUGGCUCAGAACCACAAACAGACGAAAACGACAUGGUAUCUUCUUUCGGUAUUGCGACGAAGUUCAAUGGUGCAGUGGAAAGCCUUCUCGUUUCCUUAAAAUAACCAUUCUGCCGACCAGAAUAAGAACGAGGUGUCAGAAGCUCUGGAGUUGCACAGCCGAUUGAGUUUCUACGAGGUGAAGGAGUUACGGAUCCGUUUCCAUUUACAUGAUAACCAUUCACUUUUCUAAAACUGUUGCUUCUUCUUGGGCUUGGCUUGGAGCCAAAUCUGGCUUCUUUCUCUGCAAGUAGCAUGUCCUGGAGUUUCUUUUGAUCCUAUACAGAAUACAAGAGGGAACCCUUGGUAAGAUACAAAAUACAGGAGAAAAUUAACAUUAAAUACAUUGUAUAUCCCUGUUAUGCAAAAUAGAGUGCCCAAAAUUGAGUCUCAUAUUUGACACAAUCAUACAAGUAAUAAUGUCAAAGGGCUAUCUUUGCAAAGAUCAGAUUCAUUUUCUUUUUCACCCUUUUGCCCUGUCAUAAGAUAAAUCAAUUUGAAAUAAGAGUUGAAAAGAUAAGACUCCUCGAUACUUCUGCCACACAUUGCUGUCUUCUAUGACAGUUGAAUGAGUAUCAAUAUUCAAUAAUAAAAAUUACCCUAGCUCGCUUUUUCUCCUCUUCCUUCUGUUGUCUGGUUCGUUUGUAAUCCUCCAGUAUUGAAGCCAACCGCACCUAGAGACAAGAAGCUGCAAUUAGCAAAAGAGUCCCUUUCACCAGAAUAUCGAAGUAAAAGCAGAAGCAAAUUACAAGUUAACAUGACUCACUCCGUCAUAAAGAAACAACUUCUUUUUCUCAUCCUCCCACACUAGCGUCUUGCUAAUUAGAUUGUCAACCAUAACUGGACCAAGAGAACAAUUGUAAGCUCCAAUGAUAUUGUAAGUUCAGGCAACAAAUGAUACAAGGUUAUAGCAGGUAUAGAUAGAUACCUGGAAUCUUAUUGACCAUCACUCGAGCUCGUUCUGCACGUUUAAGGUUUAUGUGAGCACCUCUUCCAGCACUAUACCGGUUUUCAUCCUGGUAACCAUGGGAGCCAUUAGAACAUGCCAAGCACAAGUUAGAACCCCAUAUAUUUUAUAAAAGCUAGAAUGCCAAUAUAAGGCCAAUACUAUUAAGUUCAUGCUGCAUGAGAACUAUUUAGCUUACUCGAUUGUAGUCUUCAAGCCAGUUUUCCUCCUCACAGGCACAAAGCCAUCGUUCAAUUCUAUCCAUAAUUUCUUUGCGACUAAAAGCUUCUUCUGUUGCUUUGUUAAUCUGUGUUUCAAUGUUUGCUAAAAGUUCACAAGGAUCCAGGAGACCUACAAGAAAAGGUUUCAAGCUUUUUAAUUUGCAACUAAGUAGAAAAGCAUUUACAUCUUAUAGAAAAAGGCAACCAACAUACCAGAAUCUAUCAUUGCAUUAGCUUUAUCAGCAGCGGUGCUUGGAUCAGGUUGAAUGUGGGUCCUACAGCAAAUAUCCUCUAAUUCUUGCCUCCUCUUCAU